Nicrophorus vespilloides is the source of this 314-nucleotide long non-coding RNA. RefSeq lists it as uncharacterized. The transcript is spliced from 3 exons. The record is from RefSeq and is a predicted model, not a curated record. Lineage: Eukaryota; Metazoa; Arthropoda; Insecta; Coleoptera; Silphidae.
UCGUGACUCUCAUUUAUUUUUCACACCUACUAGAUUAUUGUUGUAGGAGUUUCUUUUUUUUGUUCAUUACAUUUCUUCAUAUAAUUUAUUGAUAGUUAUUAUUACGUCCAUCCAAUUAGCAGAAAGUCUACUUAGAAACUUUGGUUUUUGGUUGGAAGAAGUUUGAUGGAAAAUUAACUUUGAUUACCUCACGCAUCCACGCUUUAUUCCACGACUAUUUCAUCAAUAAGAAAGUCUUCUUAAAACUAUUGAUUUAUGUCUGGAAGAAGUUCUUAAGAGAGUAUUACAUUGACUAUCCUACGCAUCCACCCUUC